UGGGGAAUAUUGCACAAUGGGCGCAAGCCUGAUGCAGCCAUGCCGCGUGUAUGAAGAAGGCCUUCGGGUUGUAAAGUACUUUCAGCGGGGAGGAAGGGAGUAAAGUUAAUACCUUUGCUCAUUGACGUUACCCGCAGAAGAAGCACCGGCUAACUCCGUGCCAGCAGCCGCGGUAAUACGGAGGGUGCAAGCGUUAAUCGGAAUUACUGGGCGUAAAGCGCACGCAGGCGGUUUGUUAAGUCAGAUGUGAAAUCCUCGGGCUCAACCUGGGAACUGCAUCUGAUACUGGCAAGCUUGAGUCUCGUAGAGGGGGGUAGAAUUCCAGGUGUAGCGGUGAAAUGCGUAGAGAUCUGGAGGAAUACCGGUGGCGAAGGCGGCCCCCUGGACGAAGACUGACGAUCAGGUGCGAAAGCGUGGGGAGCAAACAGG
Molecule: ribosomal RNA, 429 nt
Filed under: Chloroflexota bacterium
Lineage: Bacteria; Bacillati; Chloroflexota
Description: Chloroflexi bacterium partial 16S ribosomal RNA
Rfam family: Bacterial small subunit ribosomal RNA
Source: RNAcentral